CUCUUUCUUUUUUUACUUAUUGUAAGACUGAAAGAAAUAGAAACAUAAUAUUCUGUCAUUUUUAUUUUUGCAAAAUUUAAAGUUCACAAUAUCUGCACAAAACAUUUUACAUACUGUCUAGAAAGUAAAACAUUCACCUGCAGUAUUUCACACGUCUCUCUAAUCCAUCAGCCACAAAUAAACCAGUUUAACACCUAACACAGGCGUGUCCAAAGUGUGGCGCUGAGGCCAUUUGUGGCUCUUGAAAUGAUUUWGUUCAACUCCAGAAUACAAGUCAAGAAUGGUAAAAACAAUAACCAAAAAUUUUUCUUAAAUAAGGCAACAGCCUGAAGCCCUUUUUAUGUUUUGGACCUUUAAUGAUGUAUAGAUUUAAACUUAGCAAGUAAAAUAAGCAAACAAAAAAGCACAAACUAAUUCUUGCUUUUUUGAUUUAAUGAGUUUUGUGGACUGCAAAUAGUUUAAAUUAGCCAGAUUUGGUCCCUGGGACUAAAAGUUUGUGUUGCACAUAUAAUUAGUCAAUGUAGUUUCCUACAGUCAAACAGAAGAAUUCAAUUUAAAUAAGAAAAGGACCUAAGAUGUGUCGCUAAGGCCCCCUGCUGGACGUACUAAACAUCUCUAUCAAGAUGAGAGUUUUUUGCCGUUUUGGGUCAUAAUCCUGUUGGAAGACCCAUGAACUGCAGCAGAGAUCAAACUUUCUGUAACUGGUCGGCUCUUUUCUCCCCAGAAUGCCUGGAUUACUUGAUGCAGACUGAAAACCCCCUGAGCCAGCUGCAGCAAAGCAAUGAUGGAACAAAACCAGGCUUCGCCACAUAAAUUAUUCAUGACUACGAUCCCUCUCUAACUUGUUCUGCAGCAGAAUCACCUGAUAAAAUCAGAUGGGUUGGGUUGACAUUCCUGUAAAUGUGGAGGUACAUUUAAUCAGGAAGAAGCAAAGAGAGCUGAUCGACUUUACACUCUGUAUUACAAGAGCUUUGCGCAAGGAAUAAUGGGUGGAAACGGCAACUCUGAACCCGAUGAAGCAACAGGAGGAGAAGGAAGUUGGAGCUCUGCUCUCUGUGUGGCAGCAGCAGCCGUUUCUGGUUUCCUCUGGUGGCAGAAUCGAGAAACCAAGAGAAAAAUGAGAGAGAUGGAAAUUAAGCUCCAGAGAAACAGGGCCUACAUCCAAUGCAAUUAUUUGAUGUCACAUGUUGAAUCAGCACAACAUUUAUUACCAUCCAA
Poecilia reticulata (guppy) is the source of this 1218-nucleotide long non-coding RNA. RefSeq lists it as uncharacterized. NCBI's taxonomy places the organism in Eukaryota, Metazoa, Chordata, Actinopteri, Cyprinodontiformes, Poeciliidae. The record is from RefSeq and is a predicted model, not a curated record.